RNAcentral lists this ribosomal RNA (428 nucleotides) under uncultured bacterium. Its description in RNAcentral is "bacterial SSU rRNA". It matches the Rfam family "Bacterial small subunit ribosomal RNA", at positions 355 to 775 of the family's 1533-position model. The record is from RNAcentral.
UGGGGAAUUUUGCGCAAUGGGCAAACGCCUGACGCAGCAACGCCGCGUGGAGGAUGAAGGUCCUUGGAUUGUAAACUCCUGUCAGCAGGGAAAAAGCGACUUGGCCUAAUACGCCAGGGAGUUGAUUGUACCUGCAGAGGAAGCCCCGGCUAACUCUGUGCCAGCAGCCGCGGUAAUACAGAGGGGGCAAGCGUUAUUCGGAAUUAUUGGGCGUAAAGGGCGCGUAGGCGGCUUUGCAAGUGGAAGGUGAAAUCCCUCGGCUUAACCGAGGAACUGCCUUCCAGACUGCUUUGCUUGAGGCCGGGAGAGGUGAGUGGAAUUCCCAGUGUAGCGGUGAAAUGCGUAGAUAUUGGGAGGAACACCAGUGGCGAAGGCGGCUCACUGGACCGGUUCUGACGCUGAGGCGCGAAAGCGUGGGGAGCAAACGG